CUCCGGGGAUAACAGGCUGAUACCGCCCAAGAGUUCAUAUCGACGGCGGUGUUUGGCACCUCGAUGUCGGCUCAUCACAUCCUGGGGCUGAAGUAGGUCCCAAGGGUAUGGCUGUUCGCCAUUUAAAGUGGUACGCGAGCUGGGUUUAGAACGUCGUGAGACAGUUCGGUCCCUAUCUGCCGUGGGCGCUGGAGAAUUGAGGGGGGCUGCUCCUAGUACGAGAGGACCGGAGUGGACGCAUCACUGGUGUUCGGGUUGUCAUGCCAAUGGCAUUGCCCGGUAGCUAAAUGCGGAAGAGAUAAGUGCUGAAAGCAUCUAAGCACGAAACUUGCCCCGAGAUGAGUUCUCCCUGAGACUAUAAGUCUCCUGAAGGAACGUUGAAGACGACGACGUUGAUAGGUCGGGUGUGUAAGUGUAGCGAUACAUUGAGCUAACCGAUACUAAUGAACCGUGAGGCUUAACCUUACAACGCCGAAG
This 477-nucleotide ribosomal RNA is filed under the name Citrobacter freundii. RNAcentral's name for it is "bacterial LSU rRNA". It matches the Rfam family "Bacterial large subunit ribosomal RNA", at positions 2466 to 2925 of the family's 2925-position model. Lineage: Bacteria; Pseudomonadati; Pseudomonadota; Gammaproteobacteria; Enterobacterales; Enterobacteriaceae. The record is from RNAcentral.